AUUGAACGCUGGCGGCAGGCCUAACACAUGCAAGUCGAGCGGAUGAAGGGUGCUUGCUCCUGGAUUCAGCGGCGGACUGGUGAGUAAUGCCUAGGAAUCUGCCUGGUAGCGGGGGAUAACGUCCGGAAACGGGCGAUAAUACCGCAUUAGCCCUGAGGGAGAAAGUGGGGGAUCUUCGGACCUCACGCUAUCAGAUGAGCCUAGGUCGGAUUAGCUAGUUGGUGGGGUAAAGGCCUACCAAGGCGACGAUCCGUAACUGGUCUGAGAGGAUGAUCAGUCACACUGGAACUGAGACACGGUCCAGACUCCUACGGGAGGCAGCAGUGGGGAAUAUUGGACAAUGGGCGAAAGCCUGAUCCAGCCAUGCCGCGUGUGUGAAGAAGGUCUUCGGAUUGUAAAGCCCUUUUAGUUGGGAAGAAAGGCAGUAAGUUAAUACCUUGCUGUUUUGACGUUACCAACAGAAUAAGCACCGGCUAACUUCGUG
Molecule: ribosomal RNA, 484 nt
Filed under: uncultured bacterium
Lineage: Bacteria
Description: partial 16S ribosomal RNA
Rfam family: Bacterial small subunit ribosomal RNA
Source: RNAcentral